CGAUGGAUUAUAAAAUUCAUAGGUUUGGGGAGAGGUUUUCGUGCUGCCGAAGAAAUUCACUGGUAUGGCUCUGGGAGUCACAAUUGCCAUCAUCACCUCAUUGUCCCUGUCGAGAGCUUCAUCAAAUGGAUUGAAGGUCAGAGGGAGCAUGCUGUCUGGAUCGUCAUAAGCCAGCCAUGGUCGUUCAUCUCUGGCCAGACCCUCAUACAGAGUCUCGAAGAAUCGACCGAUCUGAUCCGGAUUGUUCCCUGAACCGGGUAAGACUAUAACGGCUUCGCCAAAGUUCAAGGGGGCACGCGUUGCCGAUUCC
Molecule: long non-coding RNA, 310 nt
Filed under: Sorghum bicolor (sorghum)
Lineage: Eukaryota; Viridiplantae; Streptophyta; Magnoliopsida; Poales; Poaceae
Description: long non-coding RNA (SBIC_LNC001074)
Source: RNAcentral